This 157-nucleotide ribosomal RNA is filed under the name Epicoccum nigrum. RNAcentral describes it as "5.8S ribosomal RNA". The stretch from base 1 to 129 matches the Rfam family "5.8S ribosomal RNA", at positions 26 to 154 of the family's 154-position model. From Rfam's summary of the family: 5.8S ribosomal RNA (5.8S rRNA) is a component of the large subunit of the eukaryotic ribosome. It is transcribed by RNA polymerase I as part of the 45S precursor that also contains 18S and 28S rRNA. The record is from RNAcentral. RNAcentral also lists the same sequence under 2 other names. Lineage: Eukaryota; Fungi; Ascomycota; Dothideomycetes; Pleosporales; Didymellaceae.
UCUGGCAUCGAUGAAGAACGCAGCGAAAUGCGAUAAGUAGUGUGAAUUGCAGAAUUCAGUGAAUCAUCGAAUCUUUGAACGCACAUUGCGCCCCUUGGUAUUCCAUGGGGCAUGCCUGUUCGAGCGUCAUUUGUACCUUCAAGCUCUGCUUGGUGUU